CAGCAGCCGCGGGAAUACGUAGGGUGCAAGCGUUAAUCGGAAUUACUAGGCGUAAAGCGUGCGCAGGCGGUUUGUUAAGACAGAUGUGAAAUCCCCGGGCUCAACCUGGGAACUGCAUUUGUGACUGGCAAGCUAGAGUGUGGCAGAGGGGGGUGGAAUUCCGCGUGUAGCAGUGAAAUGCGUAGAUAUGCGGAGGAACACCGAUGGCGAAGGCAGCCCCCUGGGCCAACACUGACGCUCAUGCACGAAAGCGUGGGGAGCAAACAGGAUUAGAUACCCCUGUAGUCCCUGUCUCUUAUAC
RNAcentral lists this ribosomal RNA (301 nucleotides) under uncultured bacterium. RNAcentral describes it as "partial 16S ribosomal RNA". It matches the Rfam family "Bacterial small subunit ribosomal RNA", at positions 509 to 807 of the family's 1533-position model. The record is from RNAcentral.